AUUUAACCUUUAUUUAUCCAGGUAAGCCGAUGGAGAACAAAUGCUCAUUUGCAACUACGACCAGUCACAUUCAGAAAGUUACACAUUCAGACCUGGAAGAUGUA
This is a long non-coding RNA of Sander lucioperca (pikeperch), 104 nucleotides long. RefSeq lists it as uncharacterized. The record is from RefSeq and is a predicted model, not a curated record. Lineage: Eukaryota; Metazoa; Chordata; Actinopteri; Perciformes; Percidae. The transcript has 3 exons.